ACCAACAAACAGGCUACACUCAAAAAAAUGAUUUGGUCUAAAUUGUUCCAGUGUUCAUGUGUUUCCACACUACAGAGUGUUCAAGUAGAAUUGAAGCAGUGCUGGAGUUAAGGAGAUAAUUAUGUGAUGAUUGAUCAUUAAUGAUGAACACCUGCUGUUAUCAAGAAGAAUCACCGAAGGAAAGAGAAACACAAGAACUACAACUGACUUGAGCCACAGCUGAAGAUGAAAUCAACUGAAAAAAAAGAAGACAUUAAAUCUCUCAAGAUCUGAUUAAACGAGUAGCAUCUGCCUGCAAAACCGGAGGCUGCAUUUUCAGGACCGCAUUUCUAGGACCGCAUUUCUAGGACCCUAGGUUGUUAGUGACAGCGCCACCUACCGAAUUAGAGGACCAGCGAGCGAAGAUGGAUGACAGUCAGAGUGUGAGUAUCAAAUGUGAAUACAUUUUUAUUUGUUUAACAUUAAAAACAAUUGUGAUGCAUUUCAUUGGAAAGUUAACAUAGCCGAAGAUAUCGUGAUUUGCUAAAUAGUCUUGAAUUCAUAGCCGUCAUAUAUUAGCCUCUAAUGCUGUAAAAUGAAUUGUUAGCACAUUAAUUUAACGAAACUGUUGCAUGAUAAGCCUGUGUUGACUUAUUGACAGCACAAUAAACUGUAGCACGUUCGUUGUGAAAGCUUGUUAAUUACUCAUUGUUUUUCCAUUUUAAUUAAGUUAAAAUAAUCUUAAUGUUUUAACUGUCACAUGCUCACAGUCAGCCUGUUUAACGUUACCCCACAAUACAUGUUAUGAGUACGUCUCUUCAUUUUGACAUGGUUUUAUAAUGUUGUUUGAGACAUAUGACAUUUUAAUAGUCAGACAUAACAGAGAGGCCAUCAUAAUAAUUGACUGUUAAAAUACCACGUGUUAGAUUGUCAUUUACUGUGUACUGUACUCUAUAUGAAGUGCUUUCAAGGACACAGAUCAAGGCAGGCAAUAGUAUGACAAAAGAUUAAUAAAUAAAUUUGUUGUUUGUUCAAGAACACAAAUAAAAGUCGGGACAAUGGUGGGCAGUUCUUCUUUCUUUAAUUCUAUACUGUGCAAUAACUGAAUCACGAACUCCAUUAACACAGGUGUCUCUCUUUCUUUCUUUGAUAAUUAACUGGACAACCAAAAUCUAACCCAGAGUGGCCAACAAACCCAGAAUGGCCAACAGUGCUUAUUCCUGAGUUUAGUCUGGGUGUAUUCAACACAAUACACUACAAAAUUGGUCAAGUAUUGGAAUUGUUUUUACACAAUGUGUAAACCCUUUUUAAGCGUUAACAGUAUUUCUGAUUAUGUUCUCCAUUUACUGUUUCAGUGAAGUGGAAGAAUUGAAUAGGGUGCUAGAGAAACAACUGAGAAAAGAGGUGAGAGCAUCCAGGUGGAGUCAGUGAAGACGUCGUCCAUGAAGUUCUUUCUAUGUGGUUCACGUCAUGAACAAAUUUGUUUUUGUGUGUGUUCAAGUUCAACUGUUGUAAUAUAUUAUUUUAUAAAAUAUACACAAUCUUAAAUCUA
Long non-coding RNA from Onychostoma macrolepis, 1531 nucleotides. RefSeq lists it as uncharacterized. The transcript has 2 exons. The record is from RefSeq and is a predicted model, not a curated record. NCBI's taxonomy places the organism in Eukaryota, Metazoa, Chordata, Actinopteri, Cypriniformes, Cyprinidae.